AACGCACGAGACCUGCGGACCUGCGGAGGGAUCAUUACGAAAUUCUCGGGGGGCGCGACCUGUCAUGGCCUGCGCCCCCGCUGGAAGCGCCGGAAGGCGUCUGACAGCGCAACCCUUUGUGAAAUUCCCCCGUUGCUUCGGCAGCCCCUCCCAAGGAGCGGUAAGCCUGCCGGCGGCAUUGUGGAAACUCAUCCUGAAAACCUGCACCCUCUGUCUGAACAGCGCAGUCGAAUGACUAUA
Molecule: unclassified non-coding RNA, 240 nt
Filed under: soil metagenome
Description: partial contains 5.8S ribosomal RNA, internal transcribed spacer 2, and large subunit ribosomal RNA
Source: RNAcentral